AGUGAACGCUGGCGGCAGGCCUAACACAUGCAAGUCGAACGGUAACAGAAAGCAGCUUGCUGCUUUGCUGACGAGUGGCGGGCGGGGGAGUAAUGUCUGGGAAACUGCCUGAUGGAGGGGGAUAACUACUGGAAACGGUAGCGAAUACCGCAUAACGUCGCAAGACCAAAGAGGGGGACCUUCGGGCCUCUUGCCAUCGGAUGUGCCCAGAUGGGAUUAGCUAGUAGGUGGGGUAACGGCUCACCUAGGCGACGAUCCCUAGCUGGUCUGAGAGGAUGACCAGCCACACUGGAACUGAGACACGGUCCAGACUCCUACGGGAGGCAGCAGUGGGGAAUAUUGCACAAUGGGCGCAAGCCUGAUGCAGCCAUGCCGCGUGUAUGAAGAAGGCCUUCGGGUUGUAAAGUACUUUCAGCGGGGAGGAAGGGAGUCAAGUUAAUACCUUUGCUUAUUGACGUUACCCGAAGAAGAAGCACCGGCUAACUCCGUG
Molecule: ribosomal RNA, 490 nt
Filed under: uncultured bacterium
Lineage: Bacteria
Description: partial 16S ribosomal RNA
Rfam family: Bacterial small subunit ribosomal RNA
Source: RNAcentral